GUAUGGAGCAAGCGUUAUCCGGAUUUACUGGGUGUAAAGGGAGCGUAGGCGGCAGGGCAAGUCUGAUGUGAAAACCCAGGGCUCAACCUUGGGACUGCAUUGGAAACUGUUCGGCUGGAGUGUCGGAGAGGCAAGCGGAAUUCCUAGUGUAGCGGUGAAAUGCGUAGAUAUUAGGAGGAACACCAGUGGCGAAGGCGGCUUGCUGGACGAUAACUGACGCUGAGGCUCGAAAGCGUGGGGAGC
Molecule: ribosomal RNA, 243 nt
Filed under: uncultured bacterium
Lineage: Bacteria
Description: partial 16S ribosomal RNA
Rfam family: Bacterial small subunit ribosomal RNA
Source: RNAcentral